This 496-nucleotide ribosomal RNA is filed under the name uncultured bacterium. RNAcentral describes it as "partial 16S ribosomal RNA". It matches the Rfam family "Bacterial small subunit ribosomal RNA", at positions 29 to 507 of the family's 1533-position model. The record is from RNAcentral.
AUGAACGCUGGCGGCGUGCCUCAUCCAUGCCAGUCGAGCGAACAGAUGAGGAGCUUGCUCCUCUGACGUUAGCGGCGGACGGGUGAGUAACACGUGGAUAACCUACCUAUAAGACUGGGAUAACUUCGGGAAACCGGAGCUAAUACCGGAUAAUAUAUUGAACCGCAUGGUUCAAUAGUGAAAGACGGUUUUGCUGUCACUUAUAGAUGGAUCCGCGCCGCAUUAGCUAGUUGGUAAGGUAACGGCUUACCAAGGCAACGAUGCGUAGCCGACCUGAGAGGGUGAUCGGCCACACUGGAACUGAGACACGGUCCAGACUCCUACGGGAGGCAGCAGUAGGGAAUCUUCCGCAAUGGGCGAAAGCCUGACGGAGCAACGCCGCGUGAGUGAUGAAGGUCUUCGGAUCGUAAAACUCUGUUAUUAGGGAAGAACAAAUGUGUAAGUAACUAUGCACGUCUUGACGGUACCUAAUCAGAAAACCACGGCUAACUACGUG